RNAcentral lists this ribosomal RNA (497 nucleotides) under uncultured bacterium. RNAcentral's name for it is "partial 16S ribosomal RNA". It matches the Rfam family "Bacterial small subunit ribosomal RNA", at positions 28 to 507 of the family's 1533-position model. The record is from RNAcentral.
GAUGAACGCUGGCGGCGUGCCUAAUACAUGCAAGUCGAGCGAACAGACGAGGAACUUGCUCCUCUGACGUUAGCGGCGGACGGGUGAGUAACACGUGGAUAACCUACCUAUAAGACUGGGAUAACUUCGGGAAACCGGAGCUAAUACCGGAUAAUCUAUUGAACCGCAUGGUUCAAUAGUGAAAGACGGUUUUGCUGUCACUUAUAGAUGGAUCCCCGCCGCAUUAACUAGUUGGUACGGUAACGGCUUACAAAGGCAACGAUGCGUAGCCGACCGGAAAGGGUGAUCGGCCACACUGGAACUGAGACACGGUCCAGACACCUACGGGAGGCAGCAGUAGGGAAUCUUCCGCAAUGGGCGAAAGCAUGACGGAGCAACGCCGCGUGAGUGAUGAAGGUCUUCGGAUCGUAAAACUCUGUUAUUAGGGAAGAACAAAUGUGUAAGUAACUAUGCACGUCGUGACGGUACCUAAUCAGAAAGCCACGGCUAACUACGUG